AUUGAACGCUGGCGGCAGGCCUAACACCUGCAAGUCGAGCGGAGCGGCGGACGGGUGAGUAACGCCUAGGAAUCUGCCUGGUAGUGGGGGAUAACGUCCGGAAACGGGCGCUAAUACCGCAUACUAUCAGAUGAGCCUAGGUCGGAUUAGCUCGUUGGUGGGUUAAAGGCCUACGCAGGCGACGAUCCGUAACUGGGCUGAGAGGAUGGUCAGUCACACUGGAACUGAGACACGGUCCAGACUCCUACGGGAGGCAGCAGUGGGGAGUAUUGGACAAUGGGCGAGAGCCUGAGCCAGCCAUGCCGCGUGUGUGAAGAAGGUCUUCGGAUUGUAAAGCACUUUAAGUUGGGAGGCGUUACCAACAGAAUAAGCACCGGCUAGCUGCGGGCCAGCAGCCGCGGUAAUUC
This 407-nucleotide ribosomal RNA is filed under the name uncultured bacterium. Its description in RNAcentral is "partial 16S ribosomal RNA". It matches the Rfam family "Bacterial small subunit ribosomal RNA", at positions 30 to 526 of the family's 1533-position model. The record is from RNAcentral.